UUCCCUUUGUCAUCCUUUGCCUAGGGCUCUGAUAGGGCAGGGACUGCAAAGGGGUAC
RNAcentral lists this microRNA precursor (57 nucleotides) under Cavia porcellus (domestic guinea pig). RNAcentral's name for it is "microRNA cpo-mir-211 precursor". Its record names the gene cpo-mir-211. It matches the Rfam family "mir-204 microRNA precursor family", at positions 17 to 72 of the family's 89-position model. Lineage: Eukaryota; Metazoa; Chordata; Mammalia; Rodentia; Caviidae. The record is from miRBase by way of RNAcentral.